UGACGUGGAUGCUAGUUCCUGAGGUUAAGCCAUGCAUGCCCAUGAAGCGACACGGUUGCGGAUUGGCGGACGGCUCAGUAAGACUGCGAUGAUUUGAUCGAUUGCGAGCCGUAACUACGGGAAACUGUAGGUAGGGGGGGUAGGAUACUGCGCGGCGGUAUGUGUGUCGAGUAAGUUGCAGGCCCAUCAACUGGUAGGUAGGGUAAUGGCCUAACUAGGUUGCGACGGGAGACGGGGGAUCGGGGUUUGAUUCCGGAGAGGGAGCCUGAGAGACGGCUACUACGUCCAAGGAUGGCAGCAGGCGCGAAACUUGCCCAAUCCUUUGGUUGGGAGGCAGUUAUGGGACGUGAGGAAUGGCGAUUUGCAAAGAGAAUUGCCGGUAUCGGAGGGCAAGUCGGGUGCCAGCAGCCGCGGUAAUACCUGCUCCGAUAGUGUCUAUGGUGAAUGCUGCAGUUAAAAAGUCCGUAGUCGAGAUGUGCAGUAUGUCUGGGGGGCCUGUGUUUGUUGCGGGCUGUGGACGUAUGUGGGUUUGACGCAGCGGACGGGGCGCACUGGAUAGUUGGGCGAGAGGUGAAAUGUGAGGACCCUGACUGGACGGACGGAGGCGAAGGCGGUGCGCUUGGACGAGUGUGUGGAUCAAGGACGAAGGCUGGAGGAUCGAAAUCGAUUAGAGACCGUUUUAGUUCCAGCAGUAAACGAUGCCGACUGGACGGCGCGGGAGCGCUGUGGGAGAGAAAUCGGUUAGUGUGUGGGCUCUGGGGAUAGUAUGUUCGCAAGGAUGAAACUUAAAGAGAUUGACGGAAGGACACCACAAGGAGUGGAGUGUGCGGCUUAAUUUGACUCAACGCGGGGCAACUUACCAGUGCCAAGCGCCUCUGGGAUUGAGUACAUGAGGGGCGCGGUGGUGGUGCAUGGCCGUUUCAAAUGGAUGGCGUGAGCUGUAGAUUAAGUUCUGCAAGACGUGAGACCCUGUGGACGGUGCCCCUGGGGCAAGGAGGGGCAGGAAAACAACAGGUCCGUUAUGCCCUAAGAUGCACUGGGCUGCACGCGCACUACGAUAUCUGCCUGCGGCACGAUGUGGGGGAUCAACGGUUGUAAAUCUGUUGUGAACGUGGAAUUCCUAGUAAGGGCCGUUCAUCAGGCGGGCUUGNANGUGUCCCUGUCCUUUGUACACACCGCCCGUCGCUAUCUAAGAUGAUAUGUUGGACGAAGAUUGGGAGAUCUGAGUCCUGUGUAUUAGAUAAGAUAUAAGUCGUAACAUGGCUGCUGUUGGAGAACCAUUAGCAGGAUCAUAA
This 1295-nucleotide ribosomal RNA is filed under the name Sporanauta perivermis. RNAcentral's name for it is "bacterial SSU rRNA". It matches the Rfam family "Microsporidia small subunit ribosomal RNA". The record is from RNAcentral. Lineage: Eukaryota; Fungi; Microsporidia.